This 1369-nucleotide ribosomal RNA is filed under the name uncultured bacterium. RNAcentral's name for it is "bacterial SSU rRNA". It matches the Rfam family "Bacterial small subunit ribosomal RNA", at positions 28 to 1381 of the family's 1533-position model. The record is from RNAcentral.
GACGAACGCUGGCGGCGUGCCUAAUACAUGCAAGUAGAACGCUGAAGAGAGGAGCUUGCUCUUCUUGGAUGAGUUGCGAACGGGUGAGUAACGCGUAGGUAACCUGCCUUGUAGCGGGGGAUAACUAUUGGAAACGAUAGCUAAUACCGCAUAACAAUGGAUGACACAUGUCAUUUAUUUGAAAGGGGCAAUUGCUCCACUACAAGAUGGACCUGCGUUGUAUUAGCUAGUAGGUGAGGUAACGGCUCACCUAGGCGACGAUACAUAGCCGACCUGAGAGGGUGAUCGGCCACACUGGGACUGAGACACGGCCCAGACUCCUACGGGAGGCAGCAGUAGGGAAUCUUCGGCAAUGGGGGCAACCCUGACCGAGCAACGCCGCGUGAGUGAAGAAGGUUUUCGGAUCGUAAAGCUCUGUUGUAAGUCAAGAACGAGUGUGAGAGUGGAAAAUUCACACUGUGACGGUAGCUUACCAGAAAGGGACGGCUAACUACGUGCCAGCAGCCGCGGUAAUACGUAGGUCCCGAGCGUUGUCCGGAUUUAUUGGGCGUAAAGCGAGCGCAGGCGGUUUGAUAAGUCUGAAGUUAAAGGCUGUGGCUCAACCAUAGUUCGCUUUGGAAACUGUCAAACUUGAGUGCAGAAGGGGAGAGUGGAAUUCCAUGUGUAGCGGUGAAAUGCGUAGAUAUAUGGAGGAACACCGGUGGCGAAAGCGGCUCUCUGGUCUGUAACUGACGCUGAGGCUCGAAAGCGUGGGGAGCGAACAGGAUUAGAUACCCUGGUAGUCCACGCCGUAAACGAUGAGUGCUAGGUGUUGGAUCCUUUCCGGGAUUCAGUGCCGCAGCUAACGCAUUAAGCACUCCGCCUGGGGAGUACGACCGCAAGGUUGAAACUCAAAGGAAUUGACGGGGGCCCGCACAAGCGGUGGAGCAUGUGGUUUAAUUCGAAGCAACGCGAAGAACCUUACCAGGUCUUGACAUCCCGAUGCUAUUUCUAGAGAUAGAAAGUUACUUCGGUACAUCGGUGACAGGUGGUGCAUGGUUGUCGUCAGCUCGUGUCGUGAGAUGUUGGGUUAAGUCCCGCAACGAGCGCAACCCCUAUUGUUAGUUGUCAUCAUUCAGUUGGGCACUCUAGCGAGACUGCCGGUAAUAAACCGGAGGAAGGUGGGGAUGACGUCAAAUCAUCAUGCCCCUUAUGACCUGGGCUACACACGUGCUACAAUGGUUGGUACAACGAGUUGCGAGUCGGUGACGGCAAGCUAAUCUCUUAAAGCCAAUCUCAGUUCGGAUUGUAGGCUGCAACUCGCCUACAUGAAGUCGGAAUCGCUAGUAAUCGCGGAUCAGCACGCCGCGGUGAAUACGUUCCCGGGCCU